This 775-nucleotide ribosomal RNA is filed under the name uncultured Neocallimastigales. RNAcentral describes it as "partial large subunit ribosomal RNA". It matches the Rfam family "Eukaryotic large subunit ribosomal RNA", at positions 23 to 616 of the family's 3401-position model. Lineage: Eukaryota; Fungi; Neocallimastigomycota; Neocallimastigomycetes; Neocallimastigales. The record is from RNAcentral.
AGAGAGAGACAUGCGCGCAUAUCAAUAAGCGGAGGAAAAGAAACUAACAACGGAUUCCCCUAGUAACGGCGAGUGAAGCGGGAAGAGCUCAAAUUUGAAAUCUUAAAGGGUUUCCCUUUACGAAUUGUAGUUUAAAGAAGUGUUUUCUGUUGAGGUUUUGGUAAAAGUUCUUUGGAAUAGGACAUCAUAGAGGGUGAGAAUCCCGUAUUUGACCUUUACUUUCAACUUUGUGAUACACUUUCAAAGAGUCGGAUUGUUUGGGAAUGCAGUCCAAAAUGGGUGGUAAAUUUCAUCUAAAGCUAAAUAUUGGCGAGAGACCGAUAGCGAACAAGUACCGUGAGGGAAAGAUGAAAAGAACUUUGAAAAGAGAGUUAAACAGUACGUGAAAUUGUCAAAAGGGAAGCGUUUGACACCAGUGUUGUUUCUCUGAAAAUCAAUUAAAGAACUGUUUAUGCUAAGCUGUUUAGACUUUAUCAGCUAUCUGUUUAGUUUUGAGCUUUUCUUUAAUGCACUUUUCAGUUAACAAGUCAACAUCAAUUUCUUUUGCUGUAAAAAAGCUUGAGGAAGGUGGCUUGAGAUUCGUCUUAAGUGUUUAUAGCCUCUUGCCUAUGCAGUCGGAGAGAUUGAGGUCUGCAGCGUAGAUCCUUCGGGGCUAAAUGCAUUUGUGCUAAGUUAUAGCAUUUUAUAGACAACUUGUUGACUAUGAUUUGUCUUGUAGCUUACUCGCUUAUGUUAUUUUACCUACGCUUAGGAUGUUGAGCGCAUGUCUCUCUCU